GUCGUUUCUUGCCCGGGUUGGGAAAGUACACUUCAAAGAAGGCACUACUUUGGACUCCAUAAGAAAGGCCGCAGUUGCUGAAGCAAAUUGGAAUACAGUGCACAAAUCAUUUAACACUGAUGUUUCUGAUGCCUACAUGGAAGACAUACAACAUAAAGUUGUCCCGAAAACUGAAUUAGGUUUUGAGUCAGCGAAAGAGCUUUACCAUGUCAAGGUGUAUGAUAAGUCUCGACCUGAUUCGACUAUCUCAUGCAAGUGUACUG
Molecule: unclassified non-coding RNA, 263 nt
Filed under: Hevea brasiliensis (rubber tree)
Lineage: Eukaryota; Viridiplantae; Streptophyta; Magnoliopsida; Malpighiales; Euphorbiaceae
Source: RNAcentral